ACUCCUACGGGAGGCAGCAGUGGGGAAUAUUGGACAAUGGGCGCAAGCCUGAUCCAGCCAUACCGCGUGGGUGAAGAAGGCCUUCGGGUUGUAAAGCCCUUUUGUUGGGAAAGAAAUCCAGCCGGCUAAUACCUGGUUGGGGUGACGGUACCCAAAGAAUAAGCACCGGCUAACUUCGUGCCAGCAGCCGCGGUAAU
RNAcentral lists this ribosomal RNA (197 nucleotides) under uncultured bacterium. Its description in RNAcentral is "partial 16S ribosomal RNA". It matches the Rfam family "Bacterial small subunit ribosomal RNA", at positions 335 to 524 of the family's 1533-position model. The record is from RNAcentral.